This 165-nucleotide ribosomal RNA is filed under the name uncultured bacterium. RNAcentral describes it as "partial 16S rRNA". It matches the Rfam family "Bacterial small subunit ribosomal RNA", at positions 355 to 511 of the family's 1533-position model. The record is from RNAcentral.
UAGGGAAUCUUCCACAAUGGACGAAAGUACUGAUGGAGCAACGCCGCGUGAGUGAAGAAGGGUUUCGGCUCGUAAAACUCUGUUGUUAAAGAAGAACAUAUCUGAGAGUAACUGUUCAGGUAUUGACGGUAUUUAACCAGAAAGCCACGGCUAACCACGUGCCAG